RNAcentral lists this ribosomal RNA (506 nucleotides) under uncultured bacterium. RNAcentral describes it as "partial 16S ribosomal RNA". It matches the Rfam family "Bacterial small subunit ribosomal RNA", at positions 29 to 523 of the family's 1533-position model. The record is from RNAcentral.
AUUGAACGCUGGCGGCAGGCCUAACACAUGCAAGUCGGACGGUAGCACAGAGGAGCUUGCUCCUCGGGUGACGAGUGGCGGACGGGUGAGUAAUGUCUGGGGAUCUGCCCGAUAGAGGGGGAUAACCACUGGAAACGGUGGCUAAUACCGCAUAACGUCGCAAGACCAAAGGGGGGGACCUUCGGGCCUCUCACUAUCGGAUGAACCCAGAUGGGAUUAGCUAGUAGGCGGGGUAACGGCCCACCUAGGCGACGAUCCCUAGCUGGUCCGAGAGGAUGACCAGCCACACUGGAACUGAGACACGGUCCAGACUCCUACGGGAGGCAGCAGUGGGGAAUAUUGCACAAUGGGCGCAAGCCUGAUGCAGCCAUGCCGCGUGUAUGAAGAAGGCCUUCGGGUUGUAAAGUACUUUCAGCGGGGAGGAAGGCGAUGUGGUUAAUAACCGCGUCGAUUGACGUUACCCGCAGAAGAAGCACCGGCUAACUCCGUGCCAGCCGCCGCCGCGG